RNAcentral lists this ribosomal RNA (385 nucleotides) under uncultured Pseudomonas sp. RNAcentral describes it as "bacterial SSU rRNA". It matches the Rfam family "Bacterial small subunit ribosomal RNA", at positions 396 to 773 of the family's 1533-position model. The record is from RNAcentral. Lineage: Bacteria; Pseudomonadati; Pseudomonadota; Gammaproteobacteria; Pseudomonadales; Pseudomonadaceae.
GCCGCGUGUGUGAAGAAGGUUUUCGGAUUGUAAAGCACUUUAAGUUGGGAGGAAGGGCAGUCAGUUAAUACCUUGCUGUCUUGACGUUACCAACAGAAUAAGCACCGGCUAACUUCGUGCCAGCAGCCGCGGUAAUACGAAGGGUGCAAGCGUUAAUCGGAAUUACUGGGCGUAAAGCGCGCGUAGGUGGUUCAGCAAGUUGGAUGUGAAAGCCCCGGGCUCAACCUGGGAACUGCAUCCAAAACUACUGAGCUAGAGUACGGUAGAGGGUGGUGGAAUUUCCUGUGUAGCGGUGAAAUGCGUAGAUAUAGGAAGGAACACCAGUGGCGAAGGCGACCACCUGGACUGAUACUGACACUGAGGUGCGAAAGCGUGGGGAGCAAAC